RNAcentral lists this transfer RNA (75 nucleotides) under Helicobacter pylori. RNAcentral describes it as "tRNA-Gly". It matches the Rfam family "tRNA". From Rfam's summary of the family: Transfer RNA (tRNA) molecules are approximately 80 nucleotides in length. Lineage: Bacteria; Pseudomonadati; Campylobacterota; Epsilonproteobacteria; Campylobacterales; Helicobacteraceae. The record is from RNAcentral.
GCGGGAAUAGCUCAGUGGUAGAGCACGACCUUGCCAAGGUUGGGGUCGCGGGUUCGAUCCCCGUUUCCCGCUCCA